CUAUUAAUAACCCCAAAUACACUAAAUAUUAAAAACAAACCAUUUUUCCCUCCAAGUAUAGGUGACAGAAAAGAAACAUUUUUAAAAGCUAUAGAAAAAGUACCGCAAGGGAACGCUGAAAAAGAAAUGAAACAAAUAAUAAAGUUAAAAAAAGCAGAGAUUUAUCCUCGUACCUUUUGCAUCAUGACUUAGCAAGUAAGAACCAAGCAAAGUGCAUUUUAGUUUGACCCCCCGAAACUAAGUGAGCUACUCCAAGACAGCCUAAAACUAGGGCUAACCCGUCUCUGUGGCAAAAGAGUGGGAUGAGCUUAGAGUAGAGGUGAUAGACCUACCGAACUUAGUUAUAGCUGGUUGCUUGAGAAUUGAAUAGGAGUUCAGCUUUCUGAUUUCUCUUUCCAAAAUGCUUUAAUAAUUACACCUGAAUUAAGAAAUCAAAAAAGUUAAUUAAAGAGGGUACAGCCCCUUUAAACAAGAUACAACUUCACCAGAUGGGUAAAGAUCAAAUUUACUAAGGAAAAAUGUUUUAGUGGGCCUGAAAGCAGCCACCUGUAAGAAAGCGUUAAAGCUCCUUCAUGUUUUAUCCAUUAAUCCCGACAACCUUUCUUAAACCCGCUAAUUUUAUCAAGCCUUUCCAUGCUAACAUGGAUGAGAUUAUGCUAAUAUGAGUAACAAGAAAAACUAGAUUUUCUCCAUGCACAAGUGUAACUCGAAACGGACCCCCCAUCGAACCUUAUUUUUUCGGCCCCAAAAAAAGAGGGUAAUGAACCAUAAUAUUAUUAACAAGAAAAACACCCAAAAUAUAACCGUUAAUCCCACACUGGUGUUCUCACAAGGAAAGACUAAAAGAAAAAGAAGGAACUCGGCAAAUACUAGCCUCGCCUGUUUACCAAAAACAUCGCCUCCUGCAAUUAAAACAUAGGAGGUCC
This 926-nucleotide ribosomal RNA is filed under the name Betta sp. SL-2013a. RNAcentral's name for it is "partial 16S ribosomal RNA". The stretch from base 152 to 926 matches the Rfam family "Bacterial large subunit ribosomal RNA", at positions 568 to 1846 of the family's 2925-position model. The record is from RNAcentral. Lineage: Eukaryota; Metazoa; Chordata; Actinopteri; Anabantiformes; Osphronemidae.